This 254-nucleotide ribosomal RNA is filed under the name uncultured bacterium. RNAcentral's name for it is "partial 16S ribosomal RNA". It matches the Rfam family "Bacterial small subunit ribosomal RNA", at positions 524 to 776 of the family's 1533-position model. The record is from RNAcentral.
UACGGAGGGGGCAAGCGUUGUUCGGAUUUACUGGGCGUAAAGGGUCCGUAGGCGGUUGCGCAAGUCUGGUGUGAAAUCUUCACCGCUUAACGGGAAGAGGUCAUUGGAAACUGCGCAACUUGAGUAUGGUAGAGGCAAGCGGAAUUCCUGGUGUAGCGGUGGAAUGUGUAGAUAUCAGGAAGAACAUCUGUGGCGAAGGCGGCUUGCUGGGCCAUCACUGACGCUGAGGGACGAAAGCGUGGGGAGCAAACGGG